Hemicordylus capensis (graceful crag lizard) is the source of this 834-nucleotide long non-coding RNA. RefSeq lists it as uncharacterized. The record is from RefSeq and is a predicted model, not a curated record. Lineage: Eukaryota; Metazoa; Chordata; Lepidosauria; Squamata; Cordylidae. The transcript is spliced from 4 exons.
AGGGGAGGAGAGAAGACUAAUUUGCCAGAGCGCUCCUUGAUUUAUUCCAUCUUUUCUCAAGGUGGUAUAUGUGGCGUGCCCUAUGAGUGCACAUGCUACUUAUUCCAUCCAUCUAGGGGCAAGGCUAGCAGAUGCCCAGAGGAGAACACCUGGUAAUCUAGAGUUGUUGGAAUCAUCAAUGUCUUGCUCAGACGGCACAAGCCGAACUCACAUGAUGCAGAGAGUUCCUGUUGGGGCACAGCCUGAAGCGUGGGUGUAUGGCUGGGACCAGUUCCUGAUUCUGGGCUGAUCUGUGUUAGAUGGAUGGCUCCCAGCAGGGUACUGACGUUGGUAUUUUCCAUAUGAACUUCAAAGCCCUCCAGCGGUGGUGGGGCCUUUUCAGAACCACUAAGGUUUGGGUGUCAGCGCCAACCAGCAGACUCUCCAAAUCGCUUCCAUCUUUUGCAUUGUGCUGAAACAUGAUACCAUCCCUUCCCUGCACACGCAUAUGCACACACACACACUUUUGCUCAUUUCAGUGGAAUAGGCCUCUUCACAAAGUCACUUUCGGGAACCAUAGAACACGGGAUCUGCCUGGGCACAUCCCGUUCUCAGUGCUGCACACUUCAGCUGUGUGCCCAACUAACAGAGCAGGCUCUCAGUGAGCUACCUGGAGCAACAGGAUCCUAGCACAUUAUCACCAUACCCUCAUAUUUAUUCCACCUUGGGAGUUGUAUACUGAAGCAUGCUUUAUAAAUUAUAGAUUAAGUUAUAAAUUAAAAAUCAGAAUGAAAGCAUGGAAGCAAAAUCUCUCACUCUGCUCGGAACAGCAGGCAGAGCUGCCUCAAAGACAAA